AUCACUUCUCAGCCUUUUGGCUAAGAUCAACUACAGUAUCUAUUCUUAUCAGUUUAAUAUCUGAUACAUCCUCUAUGCAAGGACAAUAUAUUAAAUGGAUUUUUGGAGCAGGGAGAUGGAACAGGGUCUUGCUCUGUCCACUCCAUGCAUCGACCUGGUAUUGCAGUAACUCCAGGAAUGGUGCACUCUUG
Small nuclear RNA from Erinaceus europaeus (western European hedgehog), 191 nucleotides. Its record names the gene U2. It matches the Rfam family "U2 spliceosomal RNA". From Rfam's summary of the family: U2 is a small nuclear RNA (snRNA) component of the spliceosome (involved in pre-mRNA splicing). The record is from Ensembl. NCBI's taxonomy places the organism in Eukaryota, Metazoa, Chordata, Mammalia, Eulipotyphla, Erinaceidae.